AAUGUAUAAUAAAAUGUUUUGACAUUACAAUGAAUACUUAUUUUUGUGACAUUGUUGAAAGCCAAGUUGACAACACCACUGCAUGAAAAAAAGUGAAUCAUAUGAAGCCUCUCAACAUCCCUUGACCUGGAAAAAAGAGAAAAAAUUAGAGAAAUGAUGGAGUAAUGCUACAAUUAAUCUACCACUCAAGUGUUUCACUUAGGCAUAUAACUUAUAAGAGUGAGUUGAAGUAAGACUUACUAUAUUUGUUAUAAUAUAUAUAAGAUAUAUAUGACCCGUUGUUACAGUACGUAUAAGAUAUAAAAUAGAAUCUGAUAUGCAUGUAGACUCGAAUAACAUAAUAAUACACAGUUACUCUAAUUAAAUCACAUUAUCUCUUUAAAUAUGCAUAGACAAAAAUAAUUGCCCUAGAAAUUUUGUCUUUAAAAGAUGAAUUACAACAAGAUUCUCACAGGUCUUUAGAAGCCACUAAUGAGCACCAAACCGGACUUAAUCUUCUGUCAUGUCUGAUGUUGUUAGCAUCUAACAAAGCCUGCAGAGAAACAUUUGAAUUUUUCUAGAAGUAUUUGCCUUUUUUGGACUCAAACUUAACAACUUCUGUCUUUCACAAUCAGGAGGGUGUAAAUCAGUCCCAUUCUUUUUAUCUCUGGUUUUCCUUUUAGUUCUAAAAGAAAGUUAUUUAGUCUUCACAACAUUUGUAGGUUCUGACUUGGAUGCAGAUUCUUGUAAGGUAGACAUUGAGAAUUUACACCUAUUUGCAACUUCUACCAGAAAGUUCAGAGACUUCCAUUAAAUCAACAUGAGAAUUCAAAAGUCAUCUUAAAACUAUUUUUUAUGUGUGAUAACAUCUUCUGCCCUUUAUACAUUCACAUCCCAUGCAUACCUUCACACCCAAACAUCAUAAUAUCCUUGACAUGGUCACAAUUUCAAUACAGAGCAUUAACAAUUAUAAUUAUGCUUGAAUUGAAAGUUAAGGAAAUUAUAUCCAUUCAUGUUAGUUCCAAGUACCAAAAACAAAAAUAUAUCACACAACAAAUUUCACAAAGCCGAUCACAGUUUUAAUACAAUGGAAAAAAAUCAUACAGCAAACACAAAUUCAACUCAAACCCAUCAAAAAAUACACACCCCCUCCAUCUUACACACAUACAUGAAACUAAACAAAAACAAAUUACCUAAUAGGCCGUCUAUCAAAAUGAGCCCAAAAUUUAUCAUCAAAAUCAGCUUCUUCGGCCACUUUAUUCUCUGAAUCUUUGAGUUUCCACUUUAGGCUCGAAUUGAAGCAAUUAGCUUGUUGCAGACAAAAUCUACAAAAGAAAAUCGAACAUGAGAAACAGUAGAAAGCCUUGGUAAUUGAAAAGGCUAAACAAAAGAUGUUAAUUAUGCAUAAUUAUACAUCCUGCAUCUACAAAACAUCCAUUCCCAAAGAAACCCAUAGCAAGCUUAAAUUACUCCCAGAACAAAAAUACAAAACAAAACUAUACAAAAAAAAUCAAGAGAGAGAUAGAGAGAGAGAAUUGAAGAUACAAAAC
This 1529-nucleotide long non-coding RNA is filed under the name Daucus carota (carrot). RNAcentral's name for it is "long non-coding RNA (DCAR_LNC000400)". Lineage: Eukaryota; Viridiplantae; Streptophyta; Magnoliopsida; Apiales; Apiaceae. The record is from RNAcentral.